GCUAAGCCCUAAACAUUGAUAGUAAUUAUUACAAUACUUUCCGCCAGAGAACUACAAGUGAAAAACUUGAAACUCAAAGGACUUGACGGUGUCCCAUAUCGGCCUAGAGGAGCCUGUCCUAUAAUCGAUACCCCCCGUUCCACCCAACCUCAACUAGCAAAAUAUCAGCCUAUAUACCGCCGUCGACAGUCUACCCCAUGAGGGUUCAACAGUAGACACAACAGCCUCAACGCUAGUACGUCAGGUCAAGGUGUAGCAAAUGUUGAGGAAAAGAUUGGCUACAUUUUUUAUGAUAAAAAACACGAAUUGCACUAUGAAACACUGCAUGAAGGUGAAUUUAGUAGUAAAACAGACAAGAGUGUCUGUUUUAACAACGCUCUGGGACGCGU
Molecule: ribosomal RNA, 389 nt
Filed under: Podarcis tiliguerta
Lineage: Eukaryota; Metazoa; Chordata; Lepidosauria; Squamata; Lacertidae
Description: partial 12S ribosomal RNA
Rfam family: Bacterial small subunit ribosomal RNA
Source: RNAcentral